This 496-nucleotide ribosomal RNA is filed under the name uncultured bacterium. Its description in RNAcentral is "partial 16S ribosomal RNA". It matches the Rfam family "Bacterial small subunit ribosomal RNA", at positions 28 to 506 of the family's 1533-position model. The record is from RNAcentral.
GAUGAACGCUGGCGGCGUGCCUAAUACAUGCAAGUCGAGCGAACGGACGAGAAGCUUGCUUCUCUGAUGUUAGCGGCGGACGGGUGAGUAACACGUGGAUAACCUACCUAUAAGACUGGGAUAACUUCGGGAAACCGGAGCUAAUACCGGAUAAUAUUUUGAACCGCAUGGUUCAAAAGUGAAAGACGGUCUUGCUGUCACUUAUAGAUGGAUCCGCGCUGCAUUAGCUAGUUGGUAAGGUAACGGCUUACCAAGGCAACGAUGCAUAGCCGACCUGGGAGGGUGAUCGGCCACACUGGAACUGAGACACGGUCCAGACUCCUACGGGAGGCAGCAGUAGGGAAUCUUCCGCAAUGGGCGAAAGCCUGACGGAGCAACGCCGCGUGAGUGAUGAAGGUCUUCGGAUCGUAAAACUCUGUUAUUAGGGAAGAACAUAUGUGUAAGUAACUGUGCACAUCUUGACGGUACCUAAUCAGAAAGCCACGGCUAACUACGU